GACGAACGCUGGCGGCGUGCUUAACACAUGCAAGUCGAACGGACAGGCCCUGGAUUUGUGGGGUGCUCGAGUAGCGGACGGGUCAUUACCAUUUGUGCAACCCGCCCUCGACUUUGGGAUACUUUCAGCAAAUUGGGGCUAACACCGGAUAGUAUCUCCCCCUGAAUGGUGGCGGCUGGUAAGUUGCGGCGUGUGGGGAUGGCAUCGCGGCUUAUCAGCUUGUUGUUGGGGUAGUGGCUGACCAAUGCUAUGACGGGUAGCCGGCCUGGGAGGGUGACCGGACACAUUGGGACUGAGAUGCGGCCCAGACUCCUACGGGAGGCAACAGUGGGGAAUAUUGCACUAUGGACGGAAGGCUAAUGCAGCAACGCCGCGUGCGGGAUGACGGCAUUCGGGUUGGAAACCGCAUUCGCCUGUGACGAAGCGUGAGUGACGGUAAUGGGUAAAGAAGCACCGGCUAACUACGUG
RNAcentral lists this ribosomal RNA (468 nucleotides) under uncultured bacterium. RNAcentral describes it as "partial 16S ribosomal RNA". It matches the Rfam family "Bacterial small subunit ribosomal RNA", at positions 28 to 507 of the family's 1533-position model. The record is from RNAcentral.